RNAcentral lists this transfer RNA (75 nucleotides) under Ignavibacteria bacterium. RNAcentral describes it as "tRNA-Val". It matches the Rfam family "tRNA". From Rfam's summary of the family: Transfer RNA (tRNA) molecules are approximately 80 nucleotides in length. Their secondary structure includes four short double-helical elements and three loops (D, anti-codon, and T loops). Further hydrogen bonds mediate the characteristic L-shaped molecular structure. tRNAs have two regions of fundamental functional importance: the anti-codon, which is responsible for specific mRNA codon recognition, and the 3' end, to which the tRNAs corresponding amino acid is attached (by aminoacyl-tRNA synthetases). tRNAs cope with the degeneracy of the genetic code in two manners: having more than one tRNA (with a specific anti-codon) for a particular amino acid; and 'wobble' base-pairing, i.e. permitting non-standard base-pairing at the 3rd anti-codon position. The record is from RNAcentral. Lineage: Bacteria; Pseudomonadati; Ignavibacteriota; Ignavibacteria. RNAcentral also lists the same sequence under 1 other name.
GGGCGGUUAGCUCAGCUGGUUCAGAGCAUCUGCCUUACAAGCAGAGGGUCGGGGGUUCAAAUCCCUCACCGCCCA